RNAcentral lists this ribosomal RNA (116 nucleotides) under Anaerobiospirillum sp. The record is from RNAcentral. Lineage: Bacteria; Pseudomonadati; Pseudomonadota; Gammaproteobacteria; Aeromonadales; Succinivibrionaceae.
CUUGGCGACCAUAGUGCUUUAGUCCCACCUGUUCCCAUUCCGAACACAGAAGUGAAAUGAAGUCACGCCGAUAAUAGUGCAACGUACGAUUGUGCGAAAGUAGGUCAUCGCCAAGC